RNAcentral lists this long non-coding RNA (3594 nucleotides) under Homo sapiens (human). Its description in RNAcentral is "HSALNT0147919". Lineage: Eukaryota; Metazoa; Chordata; Mammalia; Primates; Hominidae. The record is from RNAcentral.
CAGUUAUAAUUCUGCAGAGUGUGGCCACUGCUUCUCCCAUCCUCCUUUCCCAAGGACGGUGGGGAUUGCUAUAGGGCUGGUAGGUAGUUUACCGUCCCUUCUAUAGGCAUAGAUUUGGCACUGACAUCACAGCUUCAUAACCCCCACCACGGCCAGCUUCCCCUGCCUGUUAUCCUAGAUCCAGUCUGUUCUUGUUCAUUGAGAAUCCUGUGUUCCCACUUCAGUGACACCUGAAUUUUUUUUUAAUUGUCUUCAAGGAGGCCUCAUCUGGUUGUGUACCUAGUCAAAUCCCCAUGAUAUCUCAGUAGAAGAAAGAAGGAGGAUCUUAAAACUUCAGGGAAGAAAUAAUUUCUUCAACGAAGACGAUAUAAGGUUGACACCAGAACUCUCAUGAGAAAACUGUAAACCAGAAGACAAUAACUUAACAACUUAUCCGUAAUUAUUUCUAAUCUAGAUUUCUAUACUCAGAAACUUUGUAAAGCUGUCUUUAGCUAAAUGAGAUAAAGAACUUGUAUCUCCGUCAAUCUAUUAUCUUAGGAAGUUACUUGAAGAAGUUUUCCAUCAAACUGAAAUAGAAAACCAAGAGAACAGAAGACAUGGGCUCCAGAAAACAGUAGCUCCAAUGUGAAAGAUCAAUACAGUUCACUAUCAGGAUGCAAUCAGCUCAUCCAGCCAAAAAAUCAAACAGACCAUAUUUAGUGCAGGAAAUUCAGAAACACCUGGAGGGGAAUUUCAAGAAAAAACAAAGGAAAGCAUGUAAUGAAUUGGAUUGGAUAAUAUAUGGAGAUGUUGGAAAUAAUAAUAUAUUAAAGGCUAUAAAUACAAGAAAAUCAAUUAAACAAUGAUAAUGGAAUCAUGAGGUGGAAAAGGAAAGGCUGCAAUACCUGAACUUAAAAGUAGCAAUUUAAUAUGAAGCAAAGGGAAGAUUACAUGGUAGUGAGCAACUAAUGUAGUGUAACUAGAGAAUCUAUUUGACCUGGGUAUCAGAAACAUUUCCCUUAAGGGGCUAAAGAGUAUUAACUCUACAAAGUGCACAUGACCCUAAAACACUAAGUAAUCUGUCAUUGAAAAAUAAAGUGUACAUUUAUUUGUAUUCACUUUAGAGUUAACCAGUGACUAAAGCAUAGGAACAUUGGUUGGGGCCAAAAGGGAAAAGUGUGAAUUCUGACAGCUUUAAUCAUAAUUUUAAAAAUGAUUCAAUAACUAAUAGAAAGUAGAAUAUAAAAGGCUGAGUGUGAUAAAGAAGGUGAGUGCAAGGGUAGUGGAAGUUAUAUUUCUGUUACAAAAUGGGAAAUUAGACAUAUUUUCAGACAGUCAAAUUAUUAAAAAUACAAAGCAAUCCAACAGUAAAACAGAAAUUCAAAUUCAGAGGAGAAAAGAUAGGUGUAGUUAGCUUCAGUAAUGUAAAUCCUCAUCUUUCAUAUUGAGAAUUAAACAGCAAUGGUCUUAAGUUGGUCAUUAAAAUGGUGUUGUAAACCUACUGUGUAGCAUUAUGGAGAUAUUCCCGUAAAUAAUAAAAUACAAAUUUGAGAAAUAUUAUUACAUUUACAAAGGUGUUAUACUAUUCUAAUAUGUACAAGAGUAAAAAUAAGAUUGGCAGCUGCGGGGAGAUGCGUGCAAAAGAGCAUCAGUGAGAGCUGGCCGGUGUUCUUGAUCUGAUAAGGAUAUGCAGCCCAUCACCCCCGAAGUAUUUCACUCCUUGGUAACCUGCCUAUUGGAUUGCAACUUCUUCAUCUGGUUUUUGUCAGCAGGCAUAUUAGUGUGAAGAUACGUCCAGAGAAACUCUAUAGUCAUUGAUAUAGGAGGGAAAACCACAGCUAAUUAAAAAUUUUAAGUGGUUCUAUUUUAGGACCAACAGGUAUAUAUGCCUGCUUUUCAUUAACAGACUAAUACACUGAGACAGCAGGGUUUGUAUUAGAAAAAGUUUAAUGAUCACAGGGUGUGGAGCAAGGAGAUGAAAGAAAAGCCUCAAAUCCAUGUCCCAAAGGAGUCCUGGGCUUGGAUUUUUAAGAAUGUCAUAGAGUACAAGGGCCUGGAAAAUUGGGGUAAUUGAUUGGUCAGGGAAAAGGGGAUAAAAUUAUCAGAAUGUGGAAACUGCAUUCUUUGGUGAGUCAGUUUCUUCUGGGAUCCUUCAGACUAGCUGGUGUCAAUGGGGUCUUUCAGAGCUGUUGGCAUCAGUAGUUUCAUCGGUGUGCAGGAUCUGCUUUAAAGAAUAUCUCAGAGGGAAAACUUAAUGUUUCAUAAUAUUCAAAUCGUUGUCUAUAGAGCAGUUAAGGGGUAUGAUAAUCUUGUAACAGGGACUAUGUGAUUCUGAGGCAAUAGACAAACAACUAUGAGGAAGAGGUCACAGGGUUACAUAAUGAUUAACUGAGAGUGCUACCAGCUUGGUUUAUUUUUGUUUCUCUCCCUGCCUCCUCUCUGAUUAAUUGUAUAAAGUUUAUAGGGAUACUAUCAGUUCCACUCAAUUCCAGCCUUUUUUUUGACUUUAACCUAAGGAUUCUGAGAAUGGGAAUAAUAAAACCAUUUAUAUCUCACUGCCUGUACACAUACAAUUCAUCCCACAGAAAACCAUGUGCUUGCAGUGUGUCCUUCCAAUGCUUGAGCUGUAGCCUAUACUUCACAUAUUGCACCAUUUAUUAGCCCACUUGUUUGAACUGUCACAACCACUUGGAUCACUACACUAAUGAAUUAGUUUGAUUAAAAGAAUAUUACCAGAAUCCCAAAAGUAGUUUUUUACCCACACCCAACACUAAUCUAAAUAUUUUAAAUAAAUGUCAUUAUUUCAGUGUGUUUUUCAACUCCCUUUCUGUAUACUUACUCAAUGUCUUUCUAUCAUUUUGAAGCAAAGACCCGCAUGCCUCUGCAAUAAUACUUAAUUCCUUCUCUGGCUUUACUUUGAACUAGAUAUAUUUUAUAAAAUUUCCUGCUUUUGGAAUCCUUAUGAUUAGUUUGAUAAUGUUCCUUUGUUAUUGACAUUUUUUAACUGAACAAAACCUACAGAAGGAAGAAAAUAAAUAGGAAUGCUCAAAUGCAUAUUUGUUCAUAAAUGGCACCAGUUUUUAAAUGUUUAACAUUUAUUUCUUUGUUUUUGUUUGUGCAAAUGUAUGGGAUCAAGAGAAAUUUUGUUACAUGUAUCCAAUUUGUAGUGACCAAGCCAGGAUAUUCAGUGUCCAUCACCUGGGUACAAUACAAUUUCGUGAAGUGUAGUUAUCCUACUCUACUAUCAAACAUUGAAUUUAUUCCUUCUAUCUUAUUUAUGUAUAUUCCAUUUAAAAUGUAUUUUGCUUUUCUCUUUUAAGUUGUGUUAAAGUAGUGCAUUUUUCUUUUUAUUUUUCACUUUCUAUUUGUUCAUAUUCGCAUUUUUGUUCGUAUAUUUUUUCUCUUAUUCAGUCUGAUAUGAAAAACUGACAAAUGAGUAUAGUAAAUUAUUUUUUGUUCCGUUAUUAGAGUGGUAUAAUACUGCUGGUUUUGUAAUCCAAACAAGAGCACACUCAAGGGUUUCUUAUUCUAAAUAUUUACAUUAAAUGGUUUCUAGAUUGCUCAUAUAUUACAUAUGGUUGGUACUGACGAUAUAUAGCAAUGAAUAUCUUGAAG